RNAcentral lists this unclassified non-coding RNA (299 nucleotides) under uncultured fungus. Its description in RNAcentral is "partial contains 5.8S ribosomal RNA, internal transcribed spacer 2, and large subunit ribosomal RNA". Lineage: Eukaryota; Fungi. The record is from RNAcentral.
AACGCACAUUGCGCCCGCUGGUAUUCCGGCGGGCAUGCCCGUUCGAGCGUCAUUUUAAUUCCUUCCCAGGAGGGGAGCUUCUGUUUCCACAGAGGUUUCUGCCAGGGGUGUUGGCACCUGUCGCCGCCUAGGCGACCAGAGCCCAAAUGCAGUGGCGGACGUGCAAGCGGCCCUUAGCGCAGUAAAACAAACAAACUUCGCUCAGGAGGCUCGCAGCAACGGACCACAGCCUAACGCAAAAGCUCCUUUUGCAACAAAAACUUGACCUCGGAUCGGGUAGGACUACCCGCUGAACUUAA